RNAcentral lists this long non-coding RNA (1314 nucleotides) under Oncorhynchus mykiss (rainbow trout). RNAcentral's name for it is "lncRNA (ENSOMYG00000054192.1)". The record is from RNAcentral. Lineage: Eukaryota; Metazoa; Chordata; Actinopteri; Salmoniformes; Salmonidae.
GAUGCAUACUUUUAUUUUUGAAACUUAAGCAUAUUUUAGCAAUUACAUUUACUUUUGAUACUUAAGUAUAUUUAAAACCAAAUACUUUUACUUUUACUCAGGUAGUGUUUUACUGAGUGACUUUCACUUUUACUUCCGUCAUUUUCUAUUAAGGUAUCAUGACUUUUACUCAAGUAUGACAAUUUGGGUCCUUUUUCCACCACUGGUAAAUAGUUACAGCCUGUAACUGUGUAACUAGGAAAAAUUAUGUUACUAGUCUAAUUCAAAACUAUUCAGCUCUCCGGAAGGGGAAUGUGAAGAGUGCUGUAAAAUAUAAUAUAAACAUCUAUAGGCCUAAUUGAAAUUGCGCAUCCUGAUCUUUCUUUUCCUUUUUACAACUUCCUUGCUUGAAUUAGAAUGUUUAUCUCGUCCACCCUACAACACCAGACACCAAAACGCGCGUACACGCUCACAUGCCGCUUUCAAGACAACUUAUAACAAGGGAAAGUCGGAAAUGUCCAACUUGAAACUCGUUACCACUUGAAAAAUGUCUGAAUUUACCAAUAGAAAUUCUCUACGCAAAAAAAACGUAUAGUUAAACCCGGAGAUUCCGCGUUUCCGAGUUGUCUUGAAAGCACCAACAGACGCAAAACACGCAAGGCGUCUGGUCCAGUGGAUCAGAUCUCGUCAAAACAACACGGGGGCGAGCAUGCAUGCUCAUGGAAUGACUCCCGCAGCAUAGGUCGCUGGCGCACCCCACAUCUGCACCCAAAUGGCUGUUUGGUCAGUGCAGACUGGGAAUCAACAAUGAGAUAGACUAUGGUGUUUAUUGCUAAUAGGCUAUACAUCAAUGCUAGUGAUCAUCCAUAUAUGAUAUCCAUAUCAUUAUAUUAUAAGCAACACGAUCAGGAGAGAGAACGAUUGUUAUGGAAGAAAAGGGACCUCAGCCGCUCCGCAAGAACAAAUGCAGAAUAUCCAAAUGAAUACCCAGACUGGCGUGGCAUGCGGGGCAGACAGUCCGAAGGGAGUGCGUGUGUGUGUGGAGUCUGCGUCUGCUCCAACGACCAGUUUACGCAGAGACAACAACACACGCCUGCCAUACAAAGAGAAUACACACCUGCCAUGUUCAUAGUCUGACACACAUUGCCCCAACCCCUGGAACGUGCUUGGAUCCUCCUAUUAUUAUUUAUUAGAUUAAUCUGCAUAUUGUAAUCUCCAGUCACAAUUAUUAGGCUACAGUAUGGCAUUAAGUAAAUGGUACCAUUGGAAGUAGGAUUUGUUAGUUGAGUGAAUGACAAUUUAAAAAAAAAUUGGGUUGUAGGUAUGUAUGUCUUU